This 461-nucleotide ribosomal RNA is filed under the name uncultured bacterium. Its description in RNAcentral is "partial 16S ribosomal RNA". It matches the Rfam family "Bacterial small subunit ribosomal RNA", at positions 338 to 795 of the family's 1533-position model. The record is from RNAcentral.
CCUACGGGGGGCAGCAGUGAGGAAUAUUGGUCAAUGGGCGGGAGCCUGAACCAGCCAAGUCGCGUGAGGGAAGACGGUCCUAUGGAUUGUAAACCUCUUUGGGCGGGGAGCAAUGCCGGGCACGUGUGCCCGGAGGGAGAGUACCCGCAGAAUAAGCAUCGGCUAACUCCGUGCCAGCAGCCGCGGUAAUACGGAGGAUGCGAGCGUUAUCCGGAUUUAUUGGGCGUAAAGCGCUCGUAGGCGGUAUGUCAAGUCAAGGGUGAAAGCCCCGCGCUCAACGUGGGAACUGCCUUUGAAACUGGCAAACUUGAGUGUGUGAGAGGAUAGUGGAAUUCCAGGUGUAGGAGUGAAAUGCGUAGAUAUCUGGAGGAACAGCAGUGGCGAAGGCGACUAUCUGGCACAUAACUGACGCUGAGGAGCGAAAGCGUGGGUAGCAAACAGGAUUAGAUACCCCAGUAGUC